RNAcentral lists this ribosomal RNA (633 nucleotides) under Russula sp. r-06019. RNAcentral's name for it is "eukaryotic LSU rRNA". The stretch from base 206 to 359 matches the Rfam family "5.8S ribosomal RNA". Lineage: Eukaryota; Fungi; Basidiomycota; Agaricomycetes; Russulales; Russulaceae. The record is from RNAcentral.
AAGGAUCAUUAUCGUACAACCGAGGUGCAAGGGCUGUCGCUGACCCUCAAAGGUUGUGCACGCCCAAGCACUCUCACACAUCCGUCUCACCCCUUUGUGCAUCACCGCGUGGGCCCCCCUUUGCAAGAGGGCUUGCGUUUUCACAUAAAACCUGAUACAGUAUAGAAUGUUCUUCUUUUAUUUUGCGGUCACACGCAAUCAAUACAACUUUCAACAACGGAUCUCUUGGCUCUCGCAUCGAUGAAGAACGCAGCGAAAUGCGAUACGUAAUGUGAAUUGCAGAAUUCAGUGAAUCAUCGAAUCUUUGAACGCACCUUGCGCCCCUUGGCAUUCCGAGGGGCACACCCGUUUGAGUGUCGUGAAAUCAUCAAAAACCCUUUUCCUUUGAUCUUUGUUUGGUCGGGAAGAGGAUUUUUGGACUUGGAGGUUCCAUGCUUGCUUUCGAAGGCGAGCUCCUCUCAAAUAAAUUAGUGGGGUCCGCUUUGCUGAUCCUUAAUGUGAUAAGAUGUUUCUACAUUUUGGAUUUAGCACUGUCCCUUGGAUGCCUGCUCCUAACUGUCUUUUGGACAAUGAUGGUGCUCCGGUCAUUGCCAUUUACAUUGGCGAGAGGCUGGACCCACAAAAAAACCUUGA